This 425-nucleotide ribosomal RNA is filed under the name uncultured bacterium. Its description in RNAcentral is "bacterial SSU rRNA". It matches the Rfam family "Bacterial small subunit ribosomal RNA", at positions 359 to 776 of the family's 1533-position model. The record is from RNAcentral.
GAAUCUUUCGCAAUGGGCGCAAGCCUGACGGAGCGACGCCGCGUGGGGGAUGACUGGCUUCGGCCUGUAAACCCCUGUCAUUUGUGAGCAAGGUCCUCGGUCGAAUAAACCGCGGGCUUGAUAGUAGCAAAAGGGGCAGGGCCGGCUAACUCUGUGCCCGCCGCCGCGGUAAUACAGAGGUCCCAAGCGUUGUUCGGAUUCACUGGGCGUAAAGGGUGCGUAGGUGGCGAGGUAAGUUCGAUGUGAAAGCUCCGGGCUCAACCCGGAAAUGGCAUUGAAAACUAUCUGGCUAGAGGAUUGGAAGGGGGACUGGAAUUCUCGGUGUAGCAGUGAAAUGCGUAGAUAUCGAGAGGAACACCAGUGGCGAAGGCGAGUCCCUGGACAAUUCCUGACACUGAGGCACGAAAGCUAGGGGAGCAAACAGG